Molecule: ribosomal RNA, 158 nt
Filed under: uncultured bacterium
Lineage: Bacteria
Description: partial 16S ribosomal RNA
Rfam family: Bacterial small subunit ribosomal RNA
Source: RNAcentral
GCUAGUAAUCGCGAAUCAGAAUGUCGCGGUGAAUGCGUUCCCGGGUCUUGUACACACCGCCCGUCCACACCAUGGAAGUUGGGGGUGCCCAAAGCCGGCAAGCAAAUAUGCUGUCUAAGGCAAAACCAAUGACUGGGGUGAAGUCGUAACAAGGUAUC